Molecule: long non-coding RNA, 1032 nt
Organism: Equus quagga
Lineage: Eukaryota; Metazoa; Chordata; Mammalia; Perissodactyla; Equidae
Exons: 3
Source: RefSeq, a predicted model, not a curated record
GACCGUCACUCGACAAGGAACCACAGCCUGUCUGUCCGGGUUCAAGUAGACAACAUCAAAGUAACUGGGAGAAGGUACAAAAAGUUCUCCUUUCUCUGCAAAAGGAAAGACACAGGCUUAUUUAUUCUGGAGAAACAAGCCUUCUUUGUUCCACAUUCAUAUGGUGUUUUAGGGUGGGGACGGAAUUCCUGGACACAACAUCAAAAGUCUUCAUGGCCCACAGUUCUAUGGCCAAGUUUGCUGACAUGGAGGUCUUUGCCCCGGCUCUGCAUGAGAUCAAGAAAGGGAAUGCAGAUUUAUCAUCAUUGGGACGGAUGCUCCCCUAUGGCUUACGAGCCUCAGCAUGUGCGGAUGCCAAAAAAAAUGGUUUUAUUCUGAGGAUGCAUCUCAGAUACCCAAAUGUUUCACCGCUGUGAGAUCCACAUUCUUUUCUGAUGUAGUCCAGACUCUCCUGUGGCAUGUUACAGCAACAUCUAGACAGUCGCCGCUUUAAAUUUAGCACCCAGCAAAAUGUCGGGUUGGUUGGUUUUAAACACAGCCUGUUCUGGUUCACCGCUGAAUAGCUGCUUUGCCCGCCAGUUCUGCCAAGAGGUGCCUCUGUACUCCCACUCUGUCAACUGCCUCCUUUCAACUGAACGGAAAUCUCUCCUCCUUCAGGAAGCUUCUAAUUAGAAACUCUCUCAGGAAUCUCCCUGCUUUCCCCUAGUGACAUGAUUGGCUCCCUCGUUCUCAACCCCUAGGACACCCCUGGCUUCCUGUUAUUACAAUAGAUGGUAAAAACUUGAAGGGGAGGGACUGGCCAUAUUUGUUUUAUAUUCCCUAAGCAAGAAAUCUGUGCAGAGUACACAGUAAGGAUUCCCUAGAAACGAGUGGACUGAAAUUGAACUAACGCACAGCAUUGGAACUGGAAAGAACCUUGGAAAGCAGGCAUCCAGCUUCCAGGAUUACACAUGAGGAAACUGAGUCUCAGACAGCAGAAGGCACCUGAGACCCGCAGCUGGUGGACAACUGAACAAGCCUUCCUUAAGUCAA